RNAcentral lists this ribosomal RNA (120 nucleotides) under Saimiri boliviensis boliviensis (Bolivian squirrel monkey). Lineage: Eukaryota; Metazoa; Chordata; Mammalia; Primates; Cebidae. The record is from RNAcentral.
GUUUGUUGCUAUACCACCCUGAACGUGCCUGAUGUUGUCUGAUCUCAGAAGCUAAGCAGGGUUGGGCCUGGUUAGUACUUGGAGGUGAGACCACCUGAAAAUACUAUGGUGUUAUAGUCU